This 467-nucleotide ribosomal RNA is filed under the name uncultured bacterium. Its description in RNAcentral is "bacterial SSU rRNA". It matches the Rfam family "Bacterial small subunit ribosomal RNA", at positions 28 to 537 of the family's 1533-position model. The record is from RNAcentral.
GAUGAACGCUGGCGGCGUGCCUAAUACAUGCAAGUCGAGCGGUAAGGCCCUUCGGGGUACACGAGCGGCGGACGGCUGAGUAACACGUAGGAACGUACCCCAAACUGAGGGAUAAGCACCAGAAAUGGUGUCUAAUACCGCAUGUGAUCUUCGGAUUAAAGCUCCGGCGGUUUGGGAACGGCCUGCGCAUGAUUAGCUUGUUGGUGAGGUAAUAGCUCACCAAGGCGACGAUCAUUAGCUGGUCUGAGAGGAUGACCAGCCAGACUGGAACUGAGAACGGUCCAGACUCCUACGGGAGGCAGCAGUAGGGAAUUUUCCACAAUGGGCGAAAGCCUGAUGGAGCAACGCCGCGUGCAGGAUGAAUGUCUUCGGAUUGUAAACUGCUUUUAUAUGUGACGAUAAUGACGGUAGCAUAUGAAUAAGGAUCGGCUAACUCCGUGCCAGCAGCCGCGGUAAGCUCGUCUCUA